AGGAUUAACGCUGGCGGCGUGCCUAACACAUGCAAGUCGAACGAGGUAGCAAUACCUAGUGGCAGACGGGUGAGUAACGCGUGGUCAACCUACCGUUGAGUGGGGGAUAACUAGACGAAAGGUUAGCUAAUACCGCAUACGUCUCCGAGGGGCAUCCCUUGGCGAUAAAAGGAGCAAUCCGCUCGAUGACGGGACCGCGUCCCAUUAGCUAGAUGGUGGGGUAACGGCCUACCAUGGCACCGAUGGGUAGCUGGUUUGAGAGAGCGACCAGCCACACUGGGACUGAGAAACGGCCCAGACUCCUACGGGAGGCAGCAGUGAGGAAUUUUCCGCAAUGGGCGCAAGCCUGACGGAGCGACGCCGCGUGUGGGAAGAAGGCCUUCGGGUCGUAAACCGACUGUCGAAGGGGACGAUAAUGGACGGUACCGUUGGAGGAACGCCCCGGCUAACUACGCGCCAGCAGCCGC
This 467-nucleotide ribosomal RNA is filed under the name uncultured bacterium. RNAcentral describes it as "SSU rRNA". It matches the Rfam family "Bacterial small subunit ribosomal RNA", at positions 26 to 518 of the family's 1533-position model. The record is from RNAcentral.